RNAcentral lists this ribosomal RNA (489 nucleotides) under uncultured bacterium. RNAcentral's name for it is "partial 16S ribosomal RNA". It matches the Rfam family "Bacterial small subunit ribosomal RNA", at positions 28 to 507 of the family's 1533-position model. The record is from RNAcentral.
GAUGAACGCUAGCUACAGGCUUAACACAUGCAAGUCGAGGGGCAGCAUGAUUGAAGCUUGCUUCAAUCGAUGGCGACCGGCGCACGGGUGAGUAACACGUAUCCAACCUGCCGAUAACUCGGGGAUAGCCUUUCGAAAGAAAGAUUAAUACCCGAUAGUAUAGUAUUUCCGCAUGGUUUCACUAUUAAAGAACUUCGGUUAUCGAUGGGGAUGCGUUCCAUUAGAUAGUUGGCGGGGUAACGGCCCACCAAGUCAACGAUGGAUAGGGGUUCUGAGAGGAAGGUCCCCCACAUUGGAACUGAGACACGGUCCAAACUCCUACGGGAGGCAGCAGUGAGGAAUAUUGGUCAAUGGACGAGAGUCUGAACCAGCCAAGUAGCGUGAAGGAGGACUGCCCUAUGGGUUGUAAACUUCUUUUAUACGGGAAUAAAGUGGAGUAUGCAUACUCCUUUGUAUGUACCGUAUGAAUAAGGAUCGGCUAACUCCGUG